CCUACGGGUGGCUGCAGUAGGGAAUAUUGCUCAAUGGGGGAAACCCUGAAGCAGCAACGCCGCGUGGAGGAUGAAGGUUUUCGGAUUGUAACUCCUUUUGUUAGAGAAGAUAAUGACGGUAUCUAACGAAUAAGCACCGGCUAACUCCGUGCCAGCAGCCGCCGUAAUACGGAGGGUGGAAGGGUUACUCAGAAUCACUGGGCGUAAAGGGCGUGUUGGCGGGAUAGCAAGUCAGAUGUGAAAUCCUAUGGCUGAAACAUAGAACUGCAUUUGAACAUGGUAUUCUAGAGUAGGGGAGUGGUAGGUGGAAUGCGUUGUGUAGGGGUAAAAUGCGUAGAGAUCAAGAGGAAUACU
RNAcentral lists this ribosomal RNA (354 nucleotides) under uncultured bacterium. RNAcentral's name for it is "partial 16S ribosomal RNA". It matches the Rfam family "Bacterial small subunit ribosomal RNA", at positions 338 to 710 of the family's 1533-position model. The record is from RNAcentral.